UACGUAGGGUGCAAGCGUUGUCCGGAAUUAUUGGGCGUAAAGAGCUCGUAGGCGGUGUGUCACGUCGGCCGUGAAAACCUGCAGCUUAACUGUGGGCGUGCGGUCGAUACGGGCAUCACUGGAGUUCGGCAGGGGAGACUGGAAUUCCUGGUGUAGCGGUGAAAUGCGCAGAUAUCAGGGAGGAACACCGGUGGGCGAAGGCGGGUCUCUGGGCCG
Molecule: ribosomal RNA, 216 nt
Filed under: uncultured bacterium
Lineage: Bacteria
Description: partial 16S ribosomal RNA
Rfam family: Bacterial small subunit ribosomal RNA
Source: RNAcentral